Molecule: non-coding RNA, 44 nt
Organism: Gorilla gorilla gorilla (western lowland gorilla)
Lineage: Eukaryota; Metazoa; Chordata; Mammalia; Primates; Hominidae
Source: Rfam
CCAAAGGCUCUUUUUAGAGCCAUCAUUUUUCCUGGCAGGUGGUA